CUAAGCACUAAGAUCUUUGGAUUAAAACUUAAAGAGCAUGGCGGCCGCUAAAAACUUCAGGGGAACUUACCAGAUAAUAGAUAAUCCACAUGAUAUAUUACUUAACCUAAUGUUUGUAUACCGCCGUUUUUAGGUCCCGCUUGUGGUGGUGCCGAAAGGCUAAAAGCAGUAAGACAGGUCAUGGUGCAGCCAAUGGUUUAGACAUAAGGUGAGUUACAAUAAAAUUUUAGUUCAGACUGAAAAUUAAAGCGUUUCACGAAGUUGGACUUGAAAGUAACUUUUACAUAUAAAAAUAUAAGUUGAAUUUAUUUUUAGUGGUGC
This 321-nucleotide ribosomal RNA is filed under the name Onchidium typhae. RNAcentral's name for it is "partial 12S ribosomal RNA". Lineage: Eukaryota; Metazoa; Mollusca; Gastropoda; Systellommatophora; Onchidiidae. The record is from RNAcentral.